GCGUCUAUGGCGAAAUGGUAACGCGCUGGAUUGCAACCCCAGUAUUCCUCCGUUCGAUUCGGAGUAGGCGCUC
This 73-nucleotide transfer RNA is filed under the name Mycobacterium phage Phabba. RNAcentral's name for it is "tRNA-Cys". It matches the Rfam family "tRNA". Rfam says of the family: Transfer RNA (tRNA) molecules are approximately 80 nucleotides in length. Lineage: Duplodnaviria; Heunggongvirae; Uroviricota; Caudoviricetes. The record is from RNAcentral.